Lolium perenne is the source of this 443-nucleotide non-coding RNA. The record is from RefSeq and is a predicted model, not a curated record. Lineage: Eukaryota; Viridiplantae; Streptophyta; Magnoliopsida; Poales; Poaceae.
GAUCUGAAGUACUAUGUUUUGGAUAGGGAAGAGGCAUGUUUGUCAUGUUUUGUUUGGCGCUUAUAUUUUUUCUAUUACAAGUAUUGUGAAUGCUUUCUUAUUUCUCGUGGGAUUGUUUAUUUUCAAACAGGUCUACAUUGCUUGUUGCGAUUACAGCCAUUGGUGGGUUAUCUUUGUCGACAUCCAUUUCAGGAAAUUUAGAGUGUCUAGCUCACUGAAGUUGACUGAAUCUCAGAUGGCUUCUACUGAAAGAAUUUGCAAAUCAUUCAAGAAACUUUACAGUCAUCUUCAUGGUGUCGAGGGAUUAAAUAUCUCAUCGUUCAAGAUAAAAGUUUGCGGCACCCCUUCUUGUUCAGAGAAAAGCGCGAGGCGUGACUGUGGUAUCUAUGCAAUGAGGUUCAUUUGGAUAUUCAAGGCUAAUUUUUACCCAAAUGUAUUCAAGG